CAAUAGCGUAUAUUUAAGUUGUUGCAGUUAAAAAGCUCGUAGUUGGAUUUCUGCUGAUCGCUGUCGGUCUGCCGUCAGGUGUGUACUGGCAGUGUUGGGCAUCUAUUCGAGAUUGGGUGUCCACUUGAUUGUGUGCACUCGAUGUCGGAGCUAAUACUUUGAAAAAAUUAGAGUGUUCAAAGCAGGCCUAAGCUCUGAAUACAUUAGCAUGGAAUAACGCGAUAGGACUCUGGUCUUAUUGUGUUGGUCUUCGAGACCGGAGUAAUGAUUAAGAGGGACAGUUGGGGGCAUUCGUAUUUCAUUGUCAGAGGUGAAAUUCUUGGAUUUAUGAAAGGCGAACUUCUGCGAAAGCAUUUGCCAAGGAUGUUUUCAUUA
This 375-nucleotide ribosomal RNA is filed under the name uncultured eukaryote. RNAcentral describes it as "partial 18S ribosomal RNA". It matches the Rfam family "Eukaryotic small subunit ribosomal RNA", at positions 592 to 975 of the family's 1831-position model. The record is from RNAcentral.